Molecule: transfer RNA, 72 nt
Filed under: Stegodyphus mimosarum
Lineage: Eukaryota; Metazoa; Arthropoda; Arachnida; Araneae; Eresidae
Rfam family: tRNA
About the family: Transfer RNA (tRNA) molecules are approximately 80 nucleotides in length.
Source: Rfam by way of RNAcentral
GCCUUCGUGGCAUAACGGUUAGCAUAGUUGACGCCUAUUCGAGAGGUCCAGGUUCGAGUCCUGGCGAGGGCA